RNAcentral lists this ribosomal RNA (468 nucleotides) under uncultured bacterium. RNAcentral describes it as "bacterial SSU rRNA". It matches the Rfam family "Bacterial small subunit ribosomal RNA", at positions 328 to 793 of the family's 1533-position model. The record is from RNAcentral.
UGUCCAGACUCCUACGGGAGGCAGCAGUGAGGAAUAUUGGUCAAUGGGCGGAAGCCUGAACCAGCCAAGUCGCGUGAGGGAAUAAGGCCCUACGGGUCGUAAACCUCUUUUGCCGGGGAGCAAGGGCGGGGACGUGUCCCGGCCCGGAGAGUACCCGGAGAAAAAGCAUCGGCUAACUCCGUGCCAGCAGCCGCGGUAAUACGGAGGAUGCGAGCGUUAUCCGGAUUUAUUGGGUUUAAAGGGUGCGCAGGCGGGCUGUUAAGCCGGCGGUAAAAAUUCAGGGCUCAACCCUGUCGAGCCGUCGGAACUGGCAGUCUUGAGUGGGCGAGAAGUAUGCGGAAUGCGUGGUGUAGCGGUGAGAUGCAUAGAUAUCACGCAGAACUCCGAUUGCGAAGGCAGCAUACCGGCGCCCAACUGACGCUGAAGCACGAAAGCGUGGGUAUCGAACAGGAUUAGAUACCCUUGUAU